Molecule: ribosomal RNA, 429 nt
Filed under: Acidobacteriota bacterium
Lineage: Bacteria; Pseudomonadati; Acidobacteriota
Description: Acidobacteria bacterium partial 16S ribosomal RNA
Rfam family: Bacterial small subunit ribosomal RNA
Source: RNAcentral
UGGGGAAUUUUGGACAAUGGGGGAAACCCUGAUCCAGCCAUCCCGCGUGUGCGAUGAAGGCCUUCGGGUUGUAAAGCACUUUUGGCAGGAAAGAAACGUCAUGGGUUAAUACCCCGUGAAACUGACGGUACUUGCAGAAUAAGCACCGGCUAACUACGUGCCAGCAGCCGCGGUAAUACGUAGGGUGCAAGCGUUAAUCGGAAUUACUGGGCGUAAAGCGUGCGCAGGCGGUUCGGAAAGAAAGAUGUGAAAUCCCAGAGCUCAACUUUGGAACUGCAUUUUUAACUACCGGGCUAGAGUGUGUCAGAGGGAGGUGGAAUUGCGCGUGUAGCAGUGAAAUGCGUAGAUAUGCGGAGGAACACCGAUGGCGAAGGCAGCCUCCUGGGAUAACACUGACGCUCAUGCACGAAAGCGUGGGGAGCAAACAGG